Molecule: ribosomal RNA, 496 nt
Filed under: uncultured bacterium
Lineage: Bacteria
Description: partial 16S ribosomal RNA
Rfam family: Bacterial small subunit ribosomal RNA
Source: RNAcentral
AUGCACGCUGGCGGCGUGCCUAAUACAUGCCAGUCGAGCGAACGGACGAGAAGCUUGCUUCUCUGAUGUUAGCGGCGGACGGGUGAGUAACACGUGGAUAACCUACCUAUAAGACUGGGAUAACUUCGGGAAACCGGAGCUAAUACCGGAUAAUAUUUUUAACCGCAUGGUUCAAAAGUGAAAGACGGUCUUGCUGUCACUUAUAGAUGGAUCCGCGCUGCAUUAGCUAGUUGGUAAGGUAACGGCUUACCAAGGCAACGAUGCAUAGCCGACCUGAGAGGGUGAUCGGCCACACUGGAACUGAGACACGGUCCAGACUCCUACGGGAGGCAGCAGUAGGGAAUCUUCCGCAAUGGGCGAAAGCCUGACGGAGCAACGCCGCGUGAGUGAUGAAGGUCUUCGGAUCGUAAAACUCUGUUAUUAGGGAAGAACAUAUGUGUAAGUAACUGUGCACAUCUUGACGGUACCUAAUCAGAAAGCCACAGCUAACUACGUG